RNAcentral lists this long non-coding RNA (237 nucleotides) under Linum usitatissimum (flax). RNAcentral describes it as "long non-coding RNA (LUSI_LNC005234)". The record is from RNAcentral. Lineage: Eukaryota; Viridiplantae; Streptophyta; Magnoliopsida; Malpighiales; Linaceae.
AGGGAGUCCCAUCGCUUGCAGACGAGUCUACACCGGCAUGCGGAUCUAGGGUUGGGGAGGCGAAUGAGAAUCCAUGCGCCCUUGAUGGCGAAUCAGAAUCUCUCCGGAGGCGAAUCAUAAUCUCUGCGACGGCAUAGCCUGGAUCUAGGGUUGUCAUUUUCUGGAACAGCUACGUGGUUCUCUUAGCAGCAUCCAAUCUGAGAUGCAGUUCUCGAUCGUCAUGAUGUAGAGAGAUGG